This 380-nucleotide unclassified non-coding RNA is filed under the name uncultured bacterium. RNAcentral describes it as "contains 16S-23S intergenic spacer region". The record is from RNAcentral.
UCCAGCUUAUCGCUGGCGGUCUCCUGCGAGUUCCCAACUGAAUGAUGGCAACACAGGACAAGGGUUGCGCUCGUUGCGGGACUUAACCCAACAUCUCACGACACGAGCUGACGACAACCAUGCACCACCUGUCACUCUGUCCCCCGAAGGCGAACGUCCUAUCUCUAGGAGUGUCAGAGGAUGUCAAGACCUGGUAAGGUUCUUCGCGUUGCUUCGAAUUAAACCACAUGCUACACCGCUUGUGCGGGUCCCCGUCAAUUCCUUUGAGUUUUAGCCUUGCGGCCGUACUCCCCAGGCGGGGUGCUUAAUGCGUUAGCUUCGGCACGGAUGGGGUCGAUGUCCACCCACACCUAGCACCCAACGUUUACGGCUAGGACUAC